CAUCUCCAACGCUUGUCUUCCAAGGUUAGGCUUCCUUUCUACUUUAAAUGCUCCGGCACUUCUUCAUCCAUGCAGGACACCACCACUCCCUUCCAAACGAGGGACCCCGAAGACCUCGCUCUGCAAAGCACUUCUUCAAUUUGAUGAAAGAGACUAUUGGAAAACUUUUCAUAGGUUGGUCCAAACCAGAAUGGAUCAUCUUUGGACUGACUUGAGGCUAUAUUGGUUGUUACCUAUCCAUGAAAUCCAAUCCUUGCAGCAAGACAGGUGAUCUAUUCACAGACUUAACAUAUGUACUGUAACACUUUCUUGUUACUCAUGGAAACCAAGAAUAAUGCCUGGGGAGAAACAAGGACACGGGCUUUAAAUAAAAUGUCACAUGUGUAUUUUCCAGUAAAAGUUGUCUAACAAGAAAGAGAAUCUUCAUAAUCCCUUCAGUGGAGCUGCUCAAGCAGUUAUUACUAUUCUCUGCAAGCUAAGGUUAACAGAGGUCUUUUCCAGUGCUGGAAUUUAAGAUUCAUUAUUUUAUUCCCUCAAGAUGAAAAUUCAGUUAAAAGAAAACAUUAUAAAAUGCCAGAAUCAGUUUCAAAUUAAUUAGGUGUUCCACCCUCACUCUGCAGGGAAGCCUUUUUGCCAACACGCAAAGGGAAGGAAUUGUAAGAAGAAAGAAAGGAAGUGCUUUCAAAAGAAACCAAAGUUUCAAGAUACACAAAAAGGACAGAUUUAAGUUGCUUCAUUUCUAUGAAAAGCAUGUUAGACCUUCCCUGCCACACCCUGUAUUACCUUUUAAAAACUCUACUGUGGGGAGAAGAUAAUUUUGUUUCUGCUCUUCUUGUUUCAUUUUUUUUAACCACAAUAACAAAAAGGCAACUUUCUUCCAGAGUGAGCAGACUUGCUAAAGUAAUUCCGAUUAAAUGUCAGUGAUUUGGUCUGAGUCAAAUACAAUGAGGUGUUUGUUAUUUUACAUGUCUGAUGUAGCUUCAAAACUUGGUGAUAAGGAGGAGUCCUGAAGACAAUUGGGCAAGGUGGUGACAACUCUCUUUUCAGGAACAUCUGAAGCAGGGCUGUCAAACUGCCGGUCUGCGGGCCGGAUGCAUCAUGCCAAAACCGUGCCCACCCCAUUGCCAGCAAUGGAAAAAAAAUCACAAUAUGUUGCAACAUGUCACGUGACAUUGCGAGUUUGAUACCCCUGAUCUGAAGGCUUCAGGGAAAGUCUUCCACUUCAUAUAUCUUCAGAGUCAUAUAUUCCCUUUAAUAUUAUGCCCUUGGCUGAAGAGUCAUCCUCAAACUAGGAGGAGGAUUGAGAUGGAGCAAUCAGAGAAUCAGACACAGCUCCACCCUACCAAAAGUAGUGUGAUGGUAUCGGGACCCGAUAUCAUUUGGCUAUAGUGAUUCAGACCCUACCCUGGAGGCUCUUCUUCUAGCACAUGUGAAGACAGAGCCACAGAAAUGCUAAGCUGCAGAAACACAUAGCGUAAGCUACCCAAGAACUUCCUGGUUGAUCACUGCUAACUAUUUUCAG
Long non-coding RNA from Crotalus tigris (Tiger rattlesnake), 1522 nucleotides. RefSeq lists it as uncharacterized. The record is from RefSeq and is a predicted model, not a curated record. NCBI's taxonomy places the organism in Eukaryota, Metazoa, Chordata, Lepidosauria, Squamata, Viperidae. The transcript has 3 exons.